CCCGGGUCUUGUACACACCGCCCGUCACACCAUGGGAGCGGGAUGUACCAGAAGUAGGUAGGCUAACCGCAAGGGGGCCGCUUACCACGGUGCGUUUCGUGGCUGGGGUG
RNAcentral lists this ribosomal RNA (110 nucleotides) under uncultured bacterium. Its description in RNAcentral is "partial 16S ribosomal RNA". It matches the Rfam family "Bacterial small subunit ribosomal RNA", at positions 1373 to 1482 of the family's 1533-position model. The record is from RNAcentral.